RNAcentral lists this ribosomal RNA (494 nucleotides) under uncultured bacterium. RNAcentral describes it as "partial 16S ribosomal RNA". It matches the Rfam family "Bacterial small subunit ribosomal RNA", at positions 29 to 507 of the family's 1533-position model. The record is from RNAcentral.
ACGAACGCUGGCGGCGUGCCUAAUACAUGCAAGUAGAACGCUGAAGGAGGAGCUUGCUUCUCUGGAUGAGUUGCGAACGGGUGAGUAACGCGUAGGUAACCUGCCUGGUAGCGGGGGGUAACUAUUGGAAACGAUAGCUAAUACCGCAUAAUAGCAGUUGUUGCAUGACAACUGUUUGAAAGGUGCAAUUGCACCACUACCAGAUGGACCUGCGUUGUAUUAGCUAGUUGGUGGGGUAACGGCUCACCAAGGCGACGAUACAUAGCCGACCUGAGAGGGUGAUCGGCCACACUGGGACUGAGACACGGCCCAGACUCCUACGGGAGGCAGCAGUAGGGAAUCUUCGGCAAUGGACGGAAGUCUGGCCGAGCAACGCCGCGUGAGUGAAGAAGGUUUUCGGAUCGUAAAGCUCUGUUGUAAGAGAAGAACGAGUGUGAGAGUGGAAAGUUCACACUGUGACGGUAUCUUACCAGAAAGGGACGGCUAACUACGUG